This 461-nucleotide ribosomal RNA is filed under the name Cymothoidae sp. CMJ-2007-10. RNAcentral describes it as "partial 16S ribosomal RNA". It matches the Rfam family "Bacterial large subunit ribosomal RNA", at positions 1828 to 2608 of the family's 2925-position model. The record is from RNAcentral. Lineage: Eukaryota; Metazoa; Arthropoda; Malacostraca; Isopoda; Cymothoidae.
AAAACAUUUCUUUUAUAAUUAAAGGUAGUCCCUGCUCAAUGAUUUAAAUGGCUGCAGUAUUUUAACUGUGCGAAGGUAGCAUAAUAAUUUUCUUUUUAAUUGUAAGGUAGAAUGAAAGGGUUAACUAACAUCUACUGUAUAAAUAUGAGUUUAAAAUUUUAUAGAAAGGUAAAAAAUCCUUUCAUUUCUAAAGGGACGACAAGACCCUGGAAACUUCUAAGUUUAAACUUAUUUAACUGGGGCGGUUAGUAAUAUAAACGUUAGAGUUUAAACAUUUGCAUGGUUUUUAUAAUCAUAAAUUGAACAUUGAUGAAAGUUACUCUAGGGAUAACAGCGUAAUUUUAUCAUAGAGUUCUCAUAGAAGAUAAAGUUGCGACCUCGAUGUUGAAUUAAGUAGUCCUCUUGAAGGAGAAGGUUAGAGGGGAGAGUUUGUUCAACUCUUAAUAACUUACGUGAUCUGG